Long non-coding RNA from Syngnathoides biaculeatus (alligator pipefish), 563 nucleotides. RefSeq lists it as uncharacterized. The record is from RefSeq and is a predicted model, not a curated record. The transcript is spliced from 4 exons. Lineage: Eukaryota; Metazoa; Chordata; Actinopteri; Syngnathiformes; Syngnathidae.
GAUGCAGUCUCAAACACAACGAACUGCCAACUGACAAUACAACAUACAAGGCUUAUAUGCAUGGCUAAAUUAGCAACAAUGUGGCGCAGGUGAGCUGCAGCCGGAGGCAGCUGUGCACGUCCACGUCCCUGACAUGAUAUUCAAAAAUGAAAAAAAAAAAAAAAUCAAAUCAAAUAACCGAUCAGCUGGAUAGAUUCAAAUUUUAGUUGUUCCCUUGAAAAAGAGAUAAUCUUCCUUGCCCAAGUCAUUCAAGCUUUGCUGAUCUUGGUGUAACCCGGUUAAAAGUUGGUACAGGUCCAUGUAGUCCAACACCAUCAUGCCUCGGGUGCAGUCCCCCACCAACUCCACGGUCACAGCGACCUGAAGGUCCAGCACAGUUCCAACCCUGGAGCAUCUGCAGCUGGCACAUCGCCCAGCCCGUCCUUCCCAUGGACCCUAAGGGUGUUCUUCAGGACUUUCUCAAGGGGGGUGUUGCCAUGGCAGCAGGUGAUCCCUAGUAUCUCCACAUCGGGCGCUAUCAAGGCCAUCAUGAUGGCUUGAGCAUCAUCCACCCCUGUGUCCAC